GUCCACGCCCUAAACGAUGCGAACUGGACGUUGGGCACACUUAGGUGCUCAGUGUCGAAGCUAACGCGUUAAGUUCGCCGCCUGGGGAGUACGGUCGCAAGACUUAAACUCAAAGGAAUUGACGGGGCCCGCACAAGCGGUGGAGUAUGUGGUUUAAUUCGAUGCAACGCGAAGAACCUUACCUGGCCUUGACAUGUCCGGAAUCCUGCAGAGAUGCGGGAGUGCCUUCGGGAAUCGGAACACAGGUGCUGCAUGGCUGUCGU
Molecule: ribosomal RNA, 263 nt
Filed under: uncultured bacterium
Lineage: Bacteria
Description: partial 16S ribosomal RNA
Rfam family: Bacterial small subunit ribosomal RNA
Source: RNAcentral